RNAcentral lists this ribosomal RNA (253 nucleotides) under uncultured bacterium. RNAcentral's name for it is "partial 16S ribosomal RNA". It matches the Rfam family "Bacterial small subunit ribosomal RNA", at positions 524 to 776 of the family's 1533-position model. The record is from RNAcentral.
GACAGAGGGGGCAAGCGUUGCUCGGAAUCACUGGGCUUAAAGGGCGCGUAGGCGGGCUGCCGCGUCCGGGGUGAAAUCCCACGGCUCAACCGUGGAACGGCCUCGGAUACGGGCGGCCUCGAGGGGGGUAGGGGCAUCUGGAACUGUGAGUGGAGCGGUGAAAUGCGUUGAUAUUCACAGGAACUCCGGUGGCGAAGGCGAGGUGCUGGACCCCAUCUGACGCUGAGGCGCGAAAGCGUGGGGAGCAAACAGG